GGGGGCACUUGGCGGGGCUUGGCAGGGCUCAGCCGUGGGCAGAGCUGGCCCCAGGUCCUGAUGUGUCCCUGUUCCCCGCAGGGUGACAGCCCUGACCCAGACUGUGUGGGCGAUCCCGGGCUGCCAGGCACUCCGGGCAUCCCCGGCGAGAGAGGCGAGCAGGGCUCACCGGGACUGCGGGGACCCCCAGGACCACCCGGGCCCAUCGGUCUCCAGGGGGAACGCGGCCCUGCCGGGCUCGCUGGAGCCAAAGGGGAGCCGGGACCCCCCGGGCAGCCUGGCUACCCCGGUGCGACGGGCCCCCCCGGCCUUCCCGGCAUCAAAGGUGAGCGAGGCUACGUGGGUCCCCCUGGAGAGAAAGGGGAACUGGUGAGUCCCUCGGGGCCGUGCUUCAGGGACAGAGGGGCUGGGGCUCUCCGAGGUGCCCCCCCUCUCCGUGUGCACUGGGGCUGAGGU
RNAcentral lists this long non-coding RNA (456 nucleotides) under Athene cunicularia (burrowing owl). RNAcentral describes it as "lncRNA (ENSACUG00000011058.1)". The record is from RNAcentral. Lineage: Eukaryota; Metazoa; Chordata; Aves; Strigiformes; Strigidae.